AGACACGGACCAGAUUCCUACGGGAGGCAGCAGUGAGGAAUAUUGGUCAAUGGGCGCAAGCCUGAACCAAGCCAUGCCGCGUGCAGGAUGACGGUCCUAUGGAUUGUAAACUGCUUUUGCACAGGAAGAAACACUCGGUCGUGACCGAGCUUGACGGUACUGUGAGAAUAAGGAUCGGCUAACUCCGUGCCAGCAGCCGCGGUAAUACGGAGGAUCCAAGCGUUAUCCGGAAUCAUUGGGUUUAAAGGGUCCGUAGGCGGCCAGAUAAGUCAGUGGUGAAAGCCCAUCGCUCAACGAUGGAACGGCCAUUGAUACUGUUUGGCUUGAAUUAUUUGGAAGUAACUAGAAUAUGUAGUGUAGCGGUGAAAUGCUUAGAGAUUACAUGGAAUACCAAUUGCGAAGGCAGGUUACUACAAAUUGAUUGACGCUGAUGGACGAAAGCGUGGGUAGCGAACAGGAUUAGAUACCCUGGUAGUCCACGCCGUAAACGAUGGAUACUAGCUGUUGGGAGCAAUCUCAGUGGCUAAGCGAAAGUGAUAAGUAUCCCACCUGGGGAGUACGUUCGCAAGAAUGAAACUCAAAGGAAUUGACGGGGGCCCGCACAAGCGGUGGAGCAUGUGGUUUAAUUCGAUGAUACGCGAGGAACCUUACCAAGGCUUAAAUGUAGAUUGACCGGUUUGGAAACAGACUUUUCGCAAGACAAUUUACAAGGUGCUGCAUGGUUGUCGUCAGCUCGUGCCGUGAGGUGUCAGGUUAAGUCCUAUAACGAGCGCAACCCCUGUUGUUAGUUGCCAGCGAGUCAUGUCGGGAACUCUAGCAAGACUGCCAGUGUAAACUGUGAGGAAGGUGGGGAUGACGUCAAAUCAUCACGGCCCUUACGCCUUGGGCUACACACGUGCUACAAUGGCCGGUACAGAGAGCAGCCACUACGCAAGUAGGAGCGAAU
This 946-nucleotide ribosomal RNA is filed under the name Flavobacterium psychrophilum. RNAcentral's name for it is "bacterial SSU rRNA". It matches the Rfam family "Bacterial small subunit ribosomal RNA", at positions 322 to 1272 of the family's 1533-position model. The record is from RNAcentral. Lineage: Bacteria; Pseudomonadati; Bacteroidota; Flavobacteriia; Flavobacteriales; Flavobacteriaceae.